GUCGACGGUAACAUGAGAGCUUGCUCUUGAUGACGAGUGGCGCACGGGUGCGUAACGCGUAUGCAACCUACCCUUUACUGGGGGAUAGCCCGGAGAAAUUCGGAUUAAUACCCCAUGGUAUUAUCAGAUGGCAUCUGAAGAUAAUUAAAGAUUCAUUGGUAAAGGAUGGGCAUGCGUGACAUUAGUUAGUUGGUAAGGUAACGGCUUACCAAGACGAUGAUGUCUAGGGGUUCUGAGAGGAAGGUCCCCCACACUGGUACUGAGACACGGACCAGACUCCUACGGGAGGCAGCAGUAGGGAAUAUUGGGCAAUGGAGGCAACUCUGACCCAGCCAUGCCGCGUGCAGGAAGACAGCUUUCUGAGUUGUAAACUGCUUUUAUAUAGGAACAAAGAGGCCAUGCGUGGCAAGUUGCGUGUACUAUAUGAAUAAGCACCGGCUAACUCCGUG
Molecule: ribosomal RNA, 449 nt
Filed under: uncultured bacterium
Lineage: Bacteria
Description: bacterial SSU rRNA
Rfam family: Bacterial small subunit ribosomal RNA
Source: RNAcentral